CAGUAGCGGCGAGCGAACGGGGAGCAGCCCAGAGCCUGAAUCAGUGUGUGUGUUAGUGGAAGCGUCUGGAAAGGCGCGCGAUACAGGGUGACAGCCCCGUACACAAAAAUGCACAUACUGUGAGCUCGAUGAGUAGGGCGGGACACGUGGUAUCCUGUCUGAAUAUGGGGGGACCAUCCUCCAAGGCUAAAUACUCCUGACUGACCGAUAGUGAACCAGUACCGUGAGGGAAAGGCGAAAAGAACCCCGGCGAGGGGAGUGAAAAAGAACCUGAAACCGUGUACGUACAAGCAGUGGGAGCACAGAGCAAUCUGUGUGACUGCGUACCUUUUGUAUAAUGGGUCAGCGACUUAUAUUCUGUAGCAAGGUUAACCGAAUAGGGGAGCCGAAGGGAAACCGAGUCUUAACUGGGCGUUAAGUUGCAGGGUAUAGACCCGAAACCCGGUGAUCUAGCCAUGGGCAGGUUGAAGGUUGGGUAACACUAACUGGAGGACCGAACCGACUAAUGUUGAAAAAUUAGCGGAUGACUUGUGGCUGGGGGUGAAAGGCCAAUCAAACCGGGAGAUAGCUGGUUCUCCCCGAAAGCUAUUUAGGUAGCGCCUCGUGAAUUCAUCUCCGGGGGUAGAGCACUGUUUCGGCAAGGGGGUCAUCCCGACUUACCAACCCGAUGCAAACUGCGAAUACCGGAGAAUGUUAUCACGGGAGACACACGGCGGGUGCUAACGUCCGUCGUGAAGAGGGAAACAACCCAGACCGCCAGCUAAGGUCCCAAAGUCAUGGUUAAGUGGGAAACGAUGUGGGAAGGCCCAGACAGCCAGGAUGUUGGCUUAGAAGCAGCCAUCAUUUAAAGAAAGCGUAAUAGCUCACUGGUCGAGUCGGCCUGCGCGGAAGAUGUAACGGGGCUAAACCAUGCAC
RNAcentral lists this ribosomal RNA (915 nucleotides) under Escherichia coli. RNAcentral's name for it is "partial 23S ribosomal RNA". It matches the Rfam family "Bacterial large subunit ribosomal RNA", at positions 241 to 1194 of the family's 2925-position model. Lineage: Bacteria; Pseudomonadati; Pseudomonadota; Gammaproteobacteria; Enterobacterales; Enterobacteriaceae. The record is from RNAcentral.